This 368-nucleotide long non-coding RNA is filed under the name Heterocephalus glaber (naked mole-rat). RNAcentral describes it as "lncRNA (ENSHGLG00000045728.1)". Lineage: Eukaryota; Metazoa; Chordata; Mammalia; Rodentia; Bathyergidae. The record is from RNAcentral.
CAGAGGUUUAGGCAUUGGCCAAGACAAAAGUACUUCAUUGAAAACAGUGGAAUCAUGGAACAGAAACAGCUAGGUGGACAUUGAUUAGAGCACAGGCAUUUAUUUGGUAUCCAUAGCUAACAGAAUGCCACUAACAAUGGAGGAAACCUGUCUUCACUAGCACACUGUCAUGGAGAGAUUAAUACUGUAAUUUUUUCAGUGGACUAAUGUGAAAUUCACUAGAGCAAAAUCAUCGAGUGACACUGAUUCCAGAAAGAGUGCUGCUAAAGGAGAAAGCGCCAAGGCCCUCUUAGACAUAACACUGUGUAGUACACUACGAAGAAAGAACCGAAACCCAGAUGUCUCUACCUCUGCGAGCAAAUAAUGGC